This 253-nucleotide ribosomal RNA is filed under the name uncultured bacterium. RNAcentral describes it as "partial 16S ribosomal RNA". It matches the Rfam family "Bacterial small subunit ribosomal RNA", at positions 524 to 776 of the family's 1533-position model. The record is from RNAcentral.
UACGGAGGGGGCUAGCGUUGUUCGGAAUUAUUGGGCGUAAAGAGCUCGUAGGCGGUUUGUCGCGUCUGCUGUGAAAACCCGGGGCUCAACCCCGGGCCUGCAGCCGAUACGGGCAGACUAGAGUUCGGCAGGGGAGACUGGAAUUCCUGGUGUAGCGGUGAAAUGCGCAGAUAUCAGGAGGAACACCGGUGGCGAAGGCGGGUCUCUGGGCCGAUACUGACGCUGAGGAGCGAAAGCGUGGGGAGCGAACAGG